Molecule: long non-coding RNA, 890 nt
Filed under: Marmota monax (woodchuck)
Lineage: Eukaryota; Metazoa; Chordata; Mammalia; Rodentia; Sciuridae
Source: RNAcentral
CGAGCAGCCAAGCCAGAGAGUGCGACUUCAACUACACGGGGACUGGGCCCAGACGCAGAGUCGGGAAGGCCACUCGGUUUUAAUGAAGUUCAGGGACUAGGACAAACACGUGAUGGUUGUUCAUUACAAGAAUACCAAAAAAAGAAAAUCUGAGAAGUACGAGGCAAAAUCAAGAAGCACACAAUCAGAACCAGCAAAGUUCACUUCCCUGACAAGGAAGAAAAUGUAAGAAGUGGGUGUGCAAACGCCAAAUGACACUGCAGAGGAAGUUGAGCUCAUUGUUACGCAUGCGUGUCGUCACGUGCCAUUGAACUUCAAAUACCUUGUGAAAUGCGUAAUUGAGAAAUGGAUCAUAUAGGGCUCUAUCAGAGGUCACAAUCCUCAAAUAAUGUGUAGGUUUGACUGGGGCAGAGCGGGUGUUCAACAGCGAGGCACACUUUCACACAUUAGCUCACAGGACAUUUUAACUCCCUGCUGUGGACGAAGGGCCUCGGGUACGGGGACAGCCUGCACAGUGCGGUGUGGAGACUCGGCUGUCCGUCCUGGGGAUGCUGACGUGAGGGAGCCAGCUCAUGCUGAGUGACAGCAACAGGGACCCAGCACCAACCACUCCUAGAGGAGGAGCAUUCCAGGACUCCUGAGGCUCGGAACAAGUUAGAGCAUGGUUCUGGUGACCAGCAGCCAGGUGUGCCCCCCAGAGAUCAUGGCCCCAUGACCAGCAGCCAGGUGUGCCCCCCACAGACCACGGCCCCAUGACCAGAAGCCAGGUGUGCCCCUGACCACGUUCCGUGCACCCACAGCAGAGCUUCGCUGCGUGUUUGGGAAGGCAGGUAAAUGAGAACACUGAUGAGCAGUGUGGACAUCAGCCACCUCUAGGCACCACUGGAUUG